This 493-nucleotide ribosomal RNA is filed under the name uncultured bacterium. Its description in RNAcentral is "partial 16S ribosomal RNA". It matches the Rfam family "Bacterial small subunit ribosomal RNA", at positions 27 to 507 of the family's 1533-position model. The record is from RNAcentral.
GGAUGAACGCUAGCUACAGGCUUAACACAUGCAAGUCGAGGGGAAACGACAUCGAAAGCUUGCUUUUGAUGGGCGUCGACCGGCGCACGGGUGAGUAACGCGUAUCCAACCUGCCCACCACUUGGGGAUAACCUUGCGAAAGUAAGACUAAUACCCAAUGAUAUCUCUAGAAGACAUCUGAAAGAGAUUAAAGAUUUAUCGGUGAUGGAUGGGGAUGCGUCUGAUUAGCUUGUUGGCGGGGUAACGGCCCACCAAGGCAACGAUCAGUAGGGGUCCUGAGAGGAAGGUCCCCCACAUUGGAACUGAGACACGGUCCAAACUCCUACGGGAGGCAGCAGUGAGGAAUAUUGGUCAAUGGACGAGAGUCUGAACCAGCCAAGUAGCGUGCAGGAAGACGGCCCUAUGGGUUGUAAACUGCUUUUAUAAGGGAAUAAAGUGAGUCUCGUGAGACUUUUUGCAUGUACCUUAUGAAUAAGGACCGGCUAAUUCCGUG